RNAcentral lists this long non-coding RNA (259 nucleotides) under Brassica napus (rape). Its description in RNAcentral is "long non-coding RNA (BNAP_LNC022296)". The record is from RNAcentral. Lineage: Eukaryota; Viridiplantae; Streptophyta; Magnoliopsida; Brassicales; Brassicaceae.
CUUGGUCCAACUUUUCUUACUUUGGCAUGUCCUUUUAGUCUUGUGGUGGUCACAACAAGUCUCCUUUUCUGUUUUGUUGUAGCUUUCGUUAGGCUCAUACGCAUUCUUAAGAAGAAAAAUAUAGGCUUGUAGCUUAACUUCACUUAUGUAUUUACCUUUGCUCCACUUAAGCUAUUCAUAACAGAGCAUAUUCAAAUGUUAAUCCAUGUUGGAUGUGGUAAUGGUCUUCUAACUGCUCUUAAAGAAGGAAGCUGGUGGC